RNAcentral lists this ribosomal RNA (288 nucleotides) under uncultured bacterium. Its description in RNAcentral is "partial 16S ribosomal RNA". It matches the Rfam family "Bacterial small subunit ribosomal RNA", at positions 30 to 330 of the family's 1533-position model. The record is from RNAcentral.
AUUGAACGCUGGCGGUAUGCCUAACACAUGCAAGUCGAACGAGGUAGCAAUACCUAGUGGCGGACGGGUGAGGAAUACGUAGGGAUCUGCCCUUAAGUGGGGGAUAACCCGGGGAAACCCGGAUUAAUACCGCAUGAUCUCGCAAGAGCAAAGAGGGGGACCGCAAGGCCUCUCGCUUUUGGAGGAACCUACGUCGGAUUAGCUAGUUGGUGAGGUAAUGGCUCACCAAGGCGACGAUCCGUAACUGGUCUGAGAGGAUGAUCAGUCACACCGGAACUGAGACACGGU